GGCCGCAGUAACUGACUGUGCUAAGGUAGCAAAAUAAUUAGCCUUUUAAUUGAAAGCUUGUAUAAAAGAUUUGACAAAGAAAGCACUGUCUUAAUAAAACCAAUAUAACUUUAUUUUAAAGUAAAAAAGCUUUAUAAUUUUAAUAGGACGAUAAGACCCUAAAAUCUAUUAACUAAUAUUAAUAUGCUGUUUAGGCGUCUACUCUUAUUAUAACUAGUGAGUAAAAUAAUAAAAGUUAAUUUACUGGGGCGGUAAUUAUAACAUAAACUAUAAUAUUAAUAACAUUUUGAAUGGCUUUAUUUAACCUUCUUGAAUAUAAUAAGAUACUUUAGGGAUAACAGCAUAAUAUAUUUUAAGAGUUCUUAUCACCAAAUAUGUUUAUGACCUCGAUGUUGAAUUGAGAUUUCUAUUUCUAGAAGAUUAGAUAAUAGAUAGUCUGUUCGACUUUUAAUUUCUCACAUGAUUUGAGUUCAAACCGGC
RNAcentral lists this ribosomal RNA (480 nucleotides) under Alpioniscus christiani. RNAcentral's name for it is "partial 16S ribosomal RNA". It matches the Rfam family "Bacterial large subunit ribosomal RNA", at positions 1929 to 2620 of the family's 2925-position model. Lineage: Eukaryota; Metazoa; Arthropoda; Malacostraca; Isopoda; Trichoniscidae. The record is from RNAcentral.